AGAAAGCCCCGGCUAAUUACGUGCCAGCAGCCGCGGUAAUACGUAGGUGGCAAGCGUUAUCCGGAAUUAUUGGGCGUAAAACGUGCGUAGGCGGUUUUUUAAUUCUGAUGUGAAAGCCCACGGCUCAACCUGGGAGGGUCAUUGGAAACUGGGGAACUUGAGUGCAGAAGAGGAGAGUGGAAUUCCAGGUGUAGCGGUGAAAUGCGUAGAUAUAUGGAGGAACACCAGUGGGGAAGGCGGCUUUCUGGUCUGUAACUGACGCUGAGGGGCGAAAGCGUGGGGAGCAAACAGGAUUAGAUACCCUGGUAGUCCACGCCGUAAACGAUG
This 327-nucleotide ribosomal RNA is filed under the name uncultured bacterium. RNAcentral's name for it is "bacterial SSU rRNA". It matches the Rfam family "Bacterial small subunit ribosomal RNA", at positions 485 to 811 of the family's 1533-position model. The record is from RNAcentral.